GACUCCGUAGCUCAGAGGUAGAGCAGGCCGAUCCACCUCUUUUUGUCGUGCCACCCUGUUCUGGCGAAUGCCGGCGAAUCUACAUGGGACAGUAAGGUUGCAGGUGCAAAUCCUGCCGGAGCCA
This 124-nucleotide transfer RNA is filed under the name Klebsiella oxytoca. Its description in RNAcentral is "tRNA-OTHER". It matches the Rfam family "tRNA". Rfam says of the family: Transfer RNA (tRNA) molecules are approximately 80 nucleotides in length. Their secondary structure includes four short double-helical elements and three loops (D, anti-codon, and T loops). Lineage: Bacteria; Pseudomonadati; Pseudomonadota; Gammaproteobacteria; Enterobacterales; Enterobacteriaceae. The record is from RNAcentral.